Molecule: non-coding RNA, 101 nt
Organism: Steccherinum ochraceum
Lineage: Eukaryota; Fungi; Basidiomycota; Agaricomycetes; Polyporales; Steccherinaceae
Source: the annotation of a GenBank genome assembly
GGUGAGAUGGCCGAGCGGUCUAAGGCGCCAGACUAAGGCAGUUGCGUUGAGCUGUUUAUCUGGUCUCUUCGGGGGCGUGGGUUCAAAUCCCACUCUCAUCA